This 3144-nucleotide long non-coding RNA is filed under the name Bos grunniens (domestic yak). RNAcentral describes it as "lncRNA (ENSBGRG00000022139.1)". Lineage: Eukaryota; Metazoa; Chordata; Mammalia; Artiodactyla; Bovidae. The record is from RNAcentral.
UCUAUUACACAGACUCUUUUCUAACAUACUAGGAAUUAUUAUCCAGAAUUAUUAUUGCCCUCUGUUUUCCCAUACCUUACUUUCAGUGCCACUUCCCUGCCCCCCACAGCAUCUGCGCCCCCCUUCACCACCCUAUCUGCCAGAACCCCCUUUGCUUUUCUAGAUCUCAGCCACAGACCUUGUGCUCCUGACUCAUGGGCUUCCCAGAGAGACCGCAGGUUGGCUGCCAACACCCUGAAGACAGCAAGGCUGCCCAGUCCCCCAACGCCUGCCAAGGACAGAUUCUACCUGCAACGUGGACCCAGAGAGUCAUUCUCGAACAAAGGAACCCCAGAGGCCUGAACUUACUCAGAAUUGACUUCUGCGUCCUUCUAUUAUUGGGACUGACAUUUGAAGUCCCCGGCCGGGUCUCCCUGUCAUUUGCCAUCGCCUUUGAAGUGCUUAACAGCCGAGGUAACUUGGGGUGGCACCUGGGCUCCUGACAGUGGCACGGGUGUCUCUGCCGUUUGCUGGGGACGCGUCACUUGCCCCUGCUUUUAUCAUCACUCUUUUUCUUCUCUCUGUUUCGUUUCCCAAGUGAAUUGUCGUCGCCUAGUCUUCUGCCCUUCGUUUCUAAGGGCUGGGGAGGACGUUCUUAUGUGAAUGGCCUUUAACUCAUCCCACUGUUCCCCCAGACUUGAUAUUUGCAUUAUUUCUCAUUUUUCUCUAAUGUAACAAUCCCCGCAUGAAUAUUCUCAUUCUUUCCCCCUCCCCCAGGCCUAUGAAGGUAUAACUGAUCAAUAAUAAUCAUAUCUCUUUAAGCAGUGUAAUGUGAUAAUUGGACGUGUGUAUACAUUGUGAAAUUAUUCCCACAAUCAAGUUAAUUAACACAUUUGUCACCUCACACCUCUUGGUUGGUGUAAUGAUUGUAGACCUUUUUGCACACCCACAUUUAUCCACAACAAAAUUCUAAAAUAAAAUCGUCUUAAGGCAAAGGGUAUGGACUUUAUAAACCAUUAGUGACAUGUUAGUAGCUCAGUUGGUAAAGAAUCCACCUGCAAUGUAAGAGACCCUGGUUCGAUUCCUGGGUCAGGAAGACCUGCUGGAGAAGGGAAGGCUAUCCACUCCCGUAUUCUUGGGCUUCCCUUGUGGCCCAGCUGGUAAAGAAUCUGCUGCAAUGCAGAAGACCUGGGUUCAAUCCCUGGAUUGGGAAAUCCCCCGGAGAAGGGAAAGGCUGCUCACUGCAGGGUUCUGGCCUGGAGAAUCCCAUGGACUGUAUAGUCCAUGGGGUCGCAAAGACUGAGUGACUUUCAUUUCACUACCAAAUUGCCCUAUAAAUGAAUAGGAGGGAUGGAGUGCUACCAGCAGUUUCUAAUUUUGACUUACUAUGGAGGUGAGCAUGAUAGAUGCUUGUGAAGAAAAUUCAUACAGGUCUUCAAAGUACAAAGGAAAAACAGACGUGUACCUGGCUUUCUCUGUUGCUUAUACUCUACAGAAGGACCCAGCAGGUCACCUCUGGGUCAGCCCCCCCAGCUGUCACACAUCUACUGGAUGCUGGUAACAGGGCAUCCUCUAUACAGGACUGUGGCUGGCAGACAAAUCCCUGACUCUUUCACAAUCAUAAGAAUACAGAACAGUGACUAUCUGGCAUUCAUCCUUCAGGCUUGGUUGUAAAUGUCACCUCUUUAGAGGGAAUUUCUCAACUCCCCAAUCUGUAUUUCAGCUUUUUAUUGCUCUCAUUAAUAAGACUCAGAGGUCCUGAGUGCUCUGCAUAGGAACUAGCACCCUCAGAGUACUUUGUACUUAACACAUUACGACAAACCAGGUCUGGGUACAAUGACUGUGCUCAGUGGGUCGGUCAUGUCCAACUCUGUGCACCAUGGACUGUAGUCCACCAGGCUCCUCUGUCCAUGGAAUUUUCCAGGCAAGAAUACUGGACUGUGUUGCCACUUUCUGCUGCAGGGGAUCUUCCUGACCCAGAGAUCAAACCCAUGUCUCCUGCAUUUCCUGCAUUGUAGGCAGAUUCUUUAUCCACUGAGCCAAUUGGGAAGCCCAAUUGAUUAUUGGUAUGUUGUAAAUAUUUCAAAGUCUAUAGCAUAUCAUGAGAAGUGUUAUCAUUUACAAACUAAUUUCAAAGUGAAUUGAUCUUGAGAGUCCCUUGGACAGCAAGGAGAUCCAAUCAGUCAAUCCUAAAGGAGAUCAGUCCUGAGUAUUCAUUGAAAGGACUGAUGCUGAAGCUGAAACUCUAAUACUCUGGCCAUCUAAUGCAAAGAACUGACUCAUUUGAAAAGACCCUGAUGCUGGGAAAUAUUGAAGGCAGGAGGAGAAGGGGAUGACAGAGGAUGAGAUGGUUGGAUGGCAUCACUGACUCAAUGGACAUGAGUUUGAGUAGGCUCUGGGAGUUGGUAAUGGACAGGAAGGCCUGGCAUGCUGCAGUCCAUGGGGUCACAAAGAGUCGGACACAACUGAAUGACUGAACUGAGCUGAACUGAUAGCAUUUUGUGAGAGGUGUCAUCAUUUACAAACUAAUUUCAAAGUGAAUCGAUGUUUUAUAUACAUGAUGAACCGUAUGCUCAGUUCAGUUGAAUAAACCUCUGUUGGCACCACAAUGCAUCAGGUACUAGUCAAGUAUCAAAGACUGGGAUGCUUAAUUUUAUGUCAACUUGACUGGACUAAGGGGUGCACAGAUAUUUGGUCAAACAUUAUUCUGGGUGUGUCAGUAAAGGUGUUUCUGGAUGAGAUUAGCAUUUGAAUUCAAAGACCGAGUGAAGUGGAUUGACACUGAUCUACGUGUCUGCUUUUGUGCCAAUACCACACUGUUUUAACUACUGUAGCUUUGUAGUAUAGUCUGAAUUUUGGGACCAUGAUUCCUCAAGCUAUCCUAAUGACUGCAAAUAAAGUCACUGUUGUGGUUGUUGCUAAGUCAUGUCAGACUCUUUGUGACCCCAUGAGCUGCAGCAUGCUAUGCUUUCCUCUCUUUCACUAUCGCCUGGAGUUUGCUCAAAUUUAUGUGCACUGAGUCAGUGAUGCCAUCCAACCAUCUUAUCCUCUAUUGUCCCUUUCUCCUCUUGCCCUCAAUCUUCCCCAGCAUCAGGGUCUUUUCAAUGAGUCAGCUCUUUGCAUCAGGUGGCGAGGUAGUGGAGCUUCAGCUUCGCAUCAGUCUUU